This 406-nucleotide ribosomal RNA is filed under the name uncultured bacterium. RNAcentral describes it as "partial 16S ribosomal RNA". It matches the Rfam family "Bacterial small subunit ribosomal RNA", at positions 30 to 526 of the family's 1533-position model. The record is from RNAcentral.
AUUGAACGCUGGCGGCAGGCCUAACACAUGCAAGUCGAACGAGUGGCGGACGGGUGAGUAAUGUCUGGGCAACUGCCUGAUGGAGGGGGAUAACUACUGGAAACGGUAGCUAAUACCGCAUACCAUCGGAUGUGCCCAGAUGGGAUUAGCUAGUAGGUGGGGUAAAGGCACACCUAGGCGACAAACCCUAGCUGGUCUGAGAGGAUGAACAGCCACACUGGAACUGGUACACGGUCGAUACUCCGACGGGAGGCAGCAGUGGGGAAUAUUGCACGAUUGGCGCAAGCCUGAUGCAGACAUGCGGCGUGUAUGAAGAAGGCCUUCGGGUUGUAAAGUACUUUCAGCGGGGAGGCGUGACCCGCAGAAGAAGCACCGGCUAACUCCGUGCCAGCCGCCGCGGUAAUUC